Molecule: RNA transcript, 1847 nt
Organism: Piliocolobus tephrosceles (Ugandan red Colobus)
Lineage: Eukaryota; Metazoa; Chordata; Mammalia; Primates; Cercopithecidae
Gene name: ATP-dependent RNA helicase DDX18 pseudogene
Exons: 1
Source: RefSeq, a predicted model, not a curated record
AAAUCAAAACACUCUAUGAAUGUGGGCUUAUCAGAAGCUCAAAAUGGAGACGUGUCUCAAGAUGCAGUGGAAAAUACAAAAGCUAAAAAAACUCCCCAGAAAUCCACCAUAUUAACCAAUGGAGAAGCAGCAAUGCAGUCUCCCAAUUCAGAAUCAAAAGAGAAAAACAGAGAAUGAUGCUGGGACUGAUACAAAAAAAGCAAAAACUGAAAACAGAAGAAUCUGAAGAAGAAAGUGCUGAGACUCCUAAAGAAACAGAAAAUAAUGUGGAGAAGCCAGAUAAUGAUGACAACAUUGAGGUGCCCAGCCUACCCCUGGGACUGACAGGAACGUUUGAGGAUACUUCAUUUGCCUCUCUAUGUAAUCUUGUCAACCAAAACACUCUGAAGUUUAAAAAAAAAAAAAAAAGGGUUUUACACACAUGACUGAAAUUCAGCAUAAAAGUAUCAGACCACUUCUGGAAGGCAGGGAUCUUCUAGCAGCUGCAAAAACAGGCAGUGGUAAAACCCUGGCUUUUCUCAUCCCUGCAGUUGAACCCAUUGUUACAAUUCAUGCCCAGGAAUGCAUCGGAAGUCCUUGUUCUCUCAUCUACUAGAGAGCUAGCCAUGUAAACUUUCGGUGUUCUUAAGGAGCUAAUGACUCACCACGUGCACACCUAUGGGUUGAUAAUGGGUGGCAGUAACAGAUGUGCUGAAGCACAGAAACUUGCUAAUGAGAUUAACAUCAUUGUGGCCACACCACGCCGUCUGCUGUACCAUAUGCAGAAUAUCCCAGGGUUUAUGUAUAAAAUCUGCAGUGUCUGGUUAUUGAUGAAGUCGAUUGUAUCUUGGAUGUUGGGUUUGAAGAGGAAUUAAAGCAAAUAUUUAAACUUUUGCCAACACAUAGACACACUAUGCUCUUUUUCUGCCACCCAAACUUGAAAAGUUGAAGGCCUGGCAAGGAUUUCUCUGAAAAAGGACCAUUUUAUGUUAGUGUUGAUGAUGAUAAAGCUAAUGCAACAGUGGAUGGUCUGGAGCAGAGAGAUGUUGUUUGUCCUUCUGGAAAGAGAUCCCUUCUGCUCUUUACACUCCUUAAGAAGAACUGAAAGCAGCAGCUCAUGGUCUUCUUUUCAUCUUGUAUGUCCGUGAAAUACCACUAAAACUUGCUGAACUACAUUGAUUUGCCCGUCUUGGCCAUUCAUGGAAAGUAAAAGCAAAAUAAAUGUACAACCACAUUCUUCCAGUUCUGCAAUGCAGAUUUGGGAACCCUAUUGUGUACGGAUGUGGCAGCAAGAAGACUGGACAUUCCUGAAGUCGAAUGGAUUGUUCACUAUGACCAUCUGGAUGACACUAAGGAAUAUAUUCAUCAUGUGGGUAGAACAGCCAGAGGCCUCAAUGGAAGAACGCAUGCCUUGACCAUUUUGGGCCCAGAAGAAUUUGGUUUUCUUCGCUACUUGAAACAAUCCAAGGUUCCAUUAAGUGAAUUUGACUUUUCCUGGUCUAAAAUUUCUGACAUUCAGUCUCAGCUUGAGAAAUUGAUUGAAAAGAAUUACUUUCUUUGUAAGUCAGCCCAGGAAGCAUUCAAGUCAUACAUACGAGCCUAUGAUUCCCAUUCUCUGAAACAGAUCUUUAAUGUAAAUAACUUAAAUUUGCUUCAAGUUGCUCUGUCCUUUGGUUUCAAGGUGCCUCCCUUUGUUGAACGUCAACGACAAUGAAGGCAAGCAGAAAAAGCGAGGAGGUGGUGGUGGAUUUGGCUACCAGAAAACCAAGAAAGUUGAGAAGUCCAAAAUCUUCAAGAAAGUUGAGAAGUCCAAAAUCUUUACACACAUUAGCAAGAAAUCAUCUGACAGCAGGCAGUUCCCUCACUGA